Camelus dromedarius (Arabian camel) is the source of this 254-nucleotide long non-coding RNA. RefSeq lists it as uncharacterized. Lineage: Eukaryota; Metazoa; Chordata; Mammalia; Artiodactyla; Camelidae. The transcript has 3 exons. The record is from RefSeq and is a predicted model, not a curated record.
GCGGGUUGGAAGCUGCAGCUCCGAGCCGGGGAUCGGCCCCAAAGUCUUCUCAGCUCUGUCGCCCGGACCAGCUCAGUUGUGUGGGUGCUGCUCCCCGGGCUGAGAGCUUCCGGCCGUAAAGCCCAGCUUGUUCUGGUGAAGUCUGCAAAAGGGAGCGUCAGUGCUGAGGGAGCUUCCGUCACCUCCCUCAGUGUUUCUGCCCCAGGGGCUGCAACAUGAGCAUCCCUGACUACGUGCAGUGCGCUGAGAACGAC